GAUGAACGCUGGCGGCGUGCCUAAACAUGCAAGUCGAGCGAACAGACGAGGAGCUUGCUCCUUUGACGUUAGCGGCGGACGGGUGAGUAACACGUAGGUAACCUACCUAUAAGACUGGGAUAACUUCGGGAAACCGGAGCUAAUACCGGAUAAUAUUUCGAACCGCAUGGUUCGAUAGUGAAGGAUGGCUUUGCUAUCACUUAUAGAUGGACCUGCGCCGUAUUAGCUAGUUGGUAAGGUAACGGCUUACCAAGGCAACGAUACGUAGCCGACCUGAGAGGGUGAUCGGCCACACUGGAACUGAGACACGGUCCAGACUCCUACGGGAGGCAGCAGUAGGGAAUCUUCCGCAAUGGGCGAAAGCCUGACGGAGCAACGCCGCGUGAGUGAUGAAGGUCUUCGGAUCGUAAAACUCUGUUAUUAGGGAAGAACAAACGUGUAAGUAACUGUGCACGUCUUGACGGUACCUAAUCAGAAAGCCACGGCUAACUACGUGCCAGCAGCCGCCGUAA
This 512-nucleotide ribosomal RNA is filed under the name uncultured bacterium. RNAcentral's name for it is "partial 16S ribosomal RNA". It matches the Rfam family "Bacterial small subunit ribosomal RNA", at positions 28 to 523 of the family's 1533-position model. The record is from RNAcentral.